Molecule: long non-coding RNA, 125 nt
Organism: Myotis davidii
Lineage: Eukaryota; Metazoa; Chordata; Mammalia; Chiroptera; Vespertilionidae
Exons: 3
Source: RefSeq, a predicted model, not a curated record
GCCCUUCCCUCAAGAGCCGAACCUCCAUCUCCGUAGACAUGUCCAAGAACCGGUUCUCCCUGCAGCUGAGCUCCGUGACCACUGAGGACACAGCCGUGUAUUACUGUGCCAGAGUGGGGUGCAGG